AACGAACGCUGGCGGCGUGCUUAAGACAUGCAAGUCGAACGGUAAGGCCCCUUCGGGGUACACGAGUGGCGCACGGGUGAGUAACGCGUGGGUAAUCUACCGCCGGGUCCGGGACAACUUCGGGAAACUGGAGCUAAUACCGGAUGAGACCACGAGAUCCCCUGGAUUUCGCGGAAAAACGAUGGCCUCUGCUUGCAAGCUAUCGCCUGGCGAUGAGCCCGCGUCCCAUUAGCUAGUUGGUGAGGUAAUGGCUCACCAAGGCAGUGAUGGGUAGCUGGUCUGAGAGGAUGAUCAGCCACACUGGGACUGAGACACGGCCCAGACUCCUACGGGAGGCAG
Molecule: ribosomal RNA, 339 nt
Filed under: uncultured Pseudomonadota bacterium
Lineage: Bacteria; Pseudomonadati; Pseudomonadota
Description: bacterial SSU rRNA
Rfam family: Bacterial small subunit ribosomal RNA
Source: RNAcentral